UACGUAGGGGGCUAGCGUUGUCCGGAUUUAUUGGGCGUAAAGAGCGUGUAGGCGGCCAGGUAGGUCCGUUGUGAAAACUCGAGGCUCAACCUCGAGACGUCGAUGGAAACCAUCUGGCUAGAGUCCGGAAGAGGAGAGUGGAAUUCCUGGUGUAGCGGUGAAAUGCGCAGAUAUCAGGAAGAACACCCGUGGCUAAGGCGGCUCUCUGGGACGGUACUGACGCUGAGACGCGAAAGCGUGGGGAGCGAACAGGAUUAGAUACCCCGUU
Molecule: ribosomal RNA, 268 nt
Filed under: uncultured bacterium
Lineage: Bacteria
Description: partial 16S ribosomal RNA
Rfam family: Bacterial small subunit ribosomal RNA
Source: RNAcentral